Molecule: long non-coding RNA, 1036 nt
Organism: Notolabrus celidotus (New Zealand spotty)
Lineage: Eukaryota; Metazoa; Chordata; Actinopteri; Labriformes; Labridae
Exons: 3
Source: RefSeq, a predicted model, not a curated record
UUGUCCUUCAGAGCCACCGUAGCUAACCCUCACUGCAUUGUUCACUUUUUAGGGUGUAUUUACUUUCUUGUGCAGGAUUCUAGUUCAGAACCAUGGUCCAAAGUCCAUUUGGAGGAAGCAACAAUGCUGUUGCUUAUCAACAUAAGGCCCCAGCCUGUGUGUGAACCCAAAACCAGACCACAGCUUGCAAUGCUGAUACUGCUCUCAGUAAUGAGACUGGUCUGAAUCAGCACAGCAGCGUCAUCCACAAUCAUUCAAAGCCCUCACGGUCUUUAGACUGCUGUCAUCAUCAUCUUCCUCCUCCUCUUCUUCCUCCUCCUCCACAAGGGGCUUCUCGGGCUCAUCAUGGGGUUGGUGUCGGUGGUGGUGCAGCUCAAUGAGUAGGUAGUAGAUGACGGCCGCCAGCACGCCCCCGACCAUGGGUCCCGCCACGGGGAUCCACCACCAGUUUUCUCCGGUGCUGUGAGUAUAAACACACAUCAGAGGAAAGAGUUCAAAGUGGCUCUGUCAGUGACACAUGAGGCUGUCACAGAGGCCGCUGUAGAUCGCUGGCACCAUCACAGGAUCACUCACUAACAUCGACUGCAUCUGUCUGCUGCAUGUGAUGUUAUAUAACAACACGCUCCAUCAUCAGCAGCUCAGCUCGGGUAAAAUGAUGAUAAAUAAGCACUUGUAGAUCCGGGCAGUGGCCACAGAGACUCUUUGAAUGUAUUUUAUCAGUGAUAGAUAAAAGGCCUUGAUUGCUAUUCCAAAGAUUUAAGUUGUCAUCACCAUGAAUACAGUCCAGUACUGAUAGACUCCUAUUGAUACUUGAGUUUUAAACCCCAUCAAUUUUUGAAUGAACAUGAAUGUAUACAUUUUUUUUUCUUUUUCCUUAAAUUUUCUAUCUCUUUAUCUAUACACUGAACAAUAUUUACACUCCACCCCUUGCUUCCAAAUCUUGUCCUGUUGUAAGUUAUCACAUGUUUAUUUGUUUGUAUAUUUGUUUGUUUUUCGCUCUUAGUUUGUGUAUCAGUGUGUGUUAGACCUUGUCCAG